Molecule: ribosomal RNA, 253 nt
Filed under: uncultured bacterium
Lineage: Bacteria
Description: partial 16S ribosomal RNA
Rfam family: Bacterial small subunit ribosomal RNA
Source: RNAcentral
UACGUAGGGGGCUAGCGUUGUCCGGAAUCAUUGGGCGUAAAGCGCGUGUAGGCGGUCUGAUAAGUCUGCUGUGAAAGUCUAGGGCUCAACCCUGGAAAGCCGGUGGAUACUGUCAGACUAGAGUGCGGAAGAGGCGAGUGGAAUUCCUGGUGUAGCGGUGAAAUGCGCAGAUAUCAGGAGGAACACCAAUUGCGAAGGCAGCUCGCUGGGACGUUACUGACGCUGAGACGCGAAAGCGUGGGGAGCGAACAGG